GACGAACCGAGCGAACGUUGUUCGGAAUCACUGGGCUUAAAGGGCGCGUAGGCGGGUGCUCAAGUCCGGGGUGAAAUCCUCCAGCUCAACUGGAGAACUGCCUCGGAUACUGGGUGCCUCGAGUGUGGUAGGGGUGUGCGGAACUAUCGGUGGAGCGGUGAAAUGCGUUGAUAUCGAUAGGAACUCCGGUGGCGAAGGCGGCACACUGGACCACAACUGACGCUGAGGCGCGAAAGCAUGGGGAGCGAACAGG
RNAcentral lists this ribosomal RNA (253 nucleotides) under uncultured bacterium. RNAcentral's name for it is "partial 16S ribosomal RNA". It matches the Rfam family "Bacterial small subunit ribosomal RNA", at positions 524 to 776 of the family's 1533-position model. The record is from RNAcentral.